GGGUAACACAUGUGAAUGAAAUGCCACUGCUGUGCAGAGGAAAUGCCCUGAAACCGUGUGAUGGUGCCAUUUUCCAGACAAUCAACAAUUCAAAAAGACAGUAGGAGAUGCAUGAGGUGAACCACUUCUGUCUUCCUGGGCAGGUGUCAGAGGUCUGUGUAAGAGGAAGGCUUGGCAGAAUCUCUUGUGGAAAUUUACACGACAUCUUCCCACACAAUGGCUGGACAGUGCUGUUCUUCCUUCAGUUGUCAGGUGCAUUGGAAUGUGUAUAGAAGAAAACCCAAAGAAAAUAGGAGAUCCAAGAUUCUAGUGCAUGAAUAAAAUGCAGUUAUUGUUGGAAAUACA
RNAcentral lists this long non-coding RNA (345 nucleotides) under Cyanistes caeruleus (blue tit). RNAcentral's name for it is "lncRNA (ENSCCEG00000013754.1)". Lineage: Eukaryota; Metazoa; Chordata; Aves; Passeriformes; Paridae. The record is from RNAcentral.